Long non-coding RNA from Loxodonta africana (African savanna elephant), 10627 nucleotides. RefSeq lists it as uncharacterized. Lineage: Eukaryota; Metazoa; Chordata; Mammalia; Proboscidea; Elephantidae. The record is from RefSeq and is a predicted model, not a curated record. The transcript has 3 exons.
CGAAGUUCUGGCUUUUCCCUCUACAGGGCAGGGACGUUUUAGGGGGAGCUAUUUUUAUUUUGAGUCACUGAAUCACCCUGAGCGCAAGCACCCUCUACUUCAGCCAGGCUGGAAUGUGGACAUGAUGAUGGAAGCUGGAGCAGCCAUUUUGAACCCAAAAAUGUAAGCCUUGUGUUAAAGAUAGCAGAGCAACUACCUAGAAGGAGCCUGGGUCCCUGACAUGGUGAAGCCACCUUAGUCCUGGAUUGCUUAACUCAGACUUUUAUAAUUCUGCCCAGGAUACCACAUUACCAGUUUUGCUUCAUCAGAUCAAGCCCACCACAGCCCGUAGAAUCCCCAAGCACUGCCAGGCACCUUCUUUCUUAUAAAAUCAUGGACUGCUUCCAAAGCUGCCUCCUGUGUGUAACACAGAGGGAUAUUUGCAGAGAUUCUUGCUCCUCUCUGCAGAAUCAAGGAAUAUUUGCUGGAACCCUUCAUCUGUGUAAAAUCUUGGAAUAUGUCUGAACCCUCCUCAUCUGUGUAUAAAAUCGUGGGAUAUUUGCAGAAUACUCUCUUGUGUGUAAGGAGCCCUGGUGGUGCAAUGGUUAAGUACUCAGCUGCUAAGGGAAAAGUUCACAAUUUGAAUCUACCCUGCGGCUCUGGCGAUUUGUUUUGUAAAGAUUGUUGUUUUUAGGUACUGUUGAACAGGUUCCAACUCUUAGCGACCCUACAUACAACAGAACAAAACACCACCUGGUCCUGUGCCAUCCUCACAAUUGUUGUUAUGCUUAACCCCAUUGUUGCAGCCACUUUGUCAAUCCAUCUAGUUGAAGUCUUCCUCUUUUUUACUGACCUUUUACUUUUUUUUUUUACUUUACCAAGCGUGAAGUCCUUCUCCAGGGACUGGUCCCUCCUGAUAACAGGUCCAAAGUAUGUGAGAUAAAAAGACGAAAAGGAUUCAUAAAGAUUACAGCCUAGAAAACCCUAUGGGGGCAGUUGUACUCUCUCACAUGGGGUUGCUAUGAGUCAAAAUCCACUUGAUUGCACCCAACAACAACAUCUUGUGUAUAAAAUCAUGGCCUGUUUGCAGAAUCCCCUCCUCUGUGUAUAAUCAACGAAUGUUUGCAGAACACCCUCCUACCUGUACCAUAGUUAACUAUGGACAGAGUUCUCUACUAUGUUUGGGAUCAUGGAAUCUUUACUGAGCACCCCUGUUCUAUUUAGAAUCAGGGAAAUGAAUACCCUCCUCUGUGAAGAACCAGUAAUUGUUUGCGGUUGUAGAAUCAUCAACUGUUUGAAAGCACAUUAUAAAAUCAAGAAGUAUCUACACAGACCAUUUCUAUCUCUAGAAUGAUGUAAUAUUAGUAAAGCCUCCUCUUAGGUAUAAAAUUAUGAAAUAUUUACAGAGCACUCUCCAUGUAUAGAAUUUUGGGUUGUUUGAACAACUUUUCCUUCCUGCGUAUAGAAUUAUGAACCGUUUUUGAGGAAUACCCUCAUGUAUAUAGAAUCGUGAAAUGUUUGCAGAGCCCCUUUUGGUGGCUUGAAUUCUGUGCUGUUUGCUGAACAUCUGCCUGUGUAUAGAAUCAUUAAAUGUUUGCAGAAUCUCUUCUCUGCUUAGCAUUAUGGGGUGUCUGCAGUGUUUCCCCAUCUGUAUAGAAUCAAGGAAUGUUAGCUGAACCUCCUUCUGUGUAGAAUCAUGAAAUGUUACUGGGCGCAUUCCUCAGUAUCAAACUUUGAAAUGUUUCUUCAACAUCUGCGCUUAUGUAACACGUAAGAGAAGGGAAUGGAAGGAACCGUGGCCAGAUUGUGGAGGGUCUUCAAGGCUGUCUUAGUUAUCUAGUGCUGCUAUAACAGAAAUACCACAAUCAGCUGGCUUUAACAAAAAGAAAUUUAUUCACUCACAGUAAAGUAGGCUAAAAGUCCAAAUUCAGGGCGUCAGCUCCAGGGAAAAGGCUUUCUCUCUCUAUUGGCUCUGGAGGAAGGUCCUUCUCAUCAAUCUUCCCCUGGACCAGGAACUUAUCCACGCAGGAACCCUGAGUCCAAAGGAUGCGCUUUGCUCCUGCCACUGCUUUCUUGGUGGUAUGAGGUCCCCCUGUCUCUCUGCUCGUUUCUGUCUUUUUUAUAUCCCAAAAGAAACUGGCUGAAGACACAGUCCAAUCCUGUAGAUUGAGUCCUGCCUUGUUAACACAACUGCUGCCCAUCUCCCCUCAUUAACAUCAGAGACAGGGUUUACAACACAUAGGAAAAUCAUAUUAGAUGACAAAAUGGUAAACAAUCACAUGACACCAGGAAUUACAGCCCAGCUAAACUGAAACACACAUUUUUGGGGGACACAAUCCAUGACAAAGCUCAAGUGAAGUUAGGCUUUGUUCUGUAGGCUACAGGAGCCACCAAAGGUUUGUGGGUGGAAGAGUAACAUGAUGAAAAUUGUUUUAGAAACCCUAAUCUGGUGAGCGAUAUAGAUUGGAUAGACUGAAGGGUGAUGCUUUGUAAAAAUAUUAUUUUCAAAACAAAGCAAAAAUCAAGGUACCGACUGACUUUACUAAUCUAUAGUAGAUUAGUAAUCUGCUGUGUUUGUUGUUGUCAGCUGCCUUUGAGUCAGCCCCUGACUCAUGGCAGCCCCUGCACGACAGAAGGAAAUGCUGUCCAGUUCUGCCUCAUCCCCUUGAUCAGCUGCAGACUGGACUCUUGUGCUCCACAGGGUUUUCAUUGACUGAUUUUUGGAAGUAGUUCCCCAAGGCCUUUCUUCCUAGUCUGUUUUAGCCUGGAAGCUAUGCUGCAACCUGUCCACCUUCCAAGAUACAAGCUCCCACUGACAGACAGGUGGUGGCUAUGUGUGAGGUGCGUUAGCUGUGAAUUGAGCCAGGGUCUCCUGCAUGGAAGGCAGGACUUUAUAGUAAAUAACUUCCAUAACAUGAAGAUUCAUUCUCUAGAGCAGGGGCCAGCAAACUACAACCCAUAGACCAAAUCUAGCCCAUUGUUUGUCUUUAUAAAGUUUUAUUAAAACAGGUCGUGUCCAUUUGUUUAAAUGUUGUCUAUGGCUGCUUUUGGGCUACAAUGGGAGAGUUAAGUAUUGUGACAGAUUGUACGGCCAACAAAGCCAAAAAUAUUUACUUUCUGGUCCUUUACAGACAAAGUUUGCCUUCCCCUGCUCUAGUGAGAAAAAAUUAAUUUUUAAAAAUGUUUGGAUUUUAUUUUUUGUUUUCUCACAGCAGACUCAACUGAAUUAAUAAAUAGUUUCAUUCAUUCAACUAAUAUUUACUAAGCAUCUACCGUGUGUCAGGCCUUGAUUUAGGCUCUGAGGAUAAAAAGAGACAGCGCUUGUCCUCAAGUAAAUUUGUAAUCUAUCCGUAAUUGUCAAAUAAAUCACGAGGAACCUUGGGCAAGAUUUGUGUAGCCUUGGGCAAGUUUCUUAAUCAUUCUAGGUUUCAGUUUCCUCAUCUGUAGAUGAAAGUGAGAAUGAUAAUAGUAUCUAUGUCAAGGUGUUAUUGUAAGGAUUAAGCAAGUGACUAUAAAGUUCUUAGAAUAGUGUCUGAAACAGAGUAAGUGCUGUUAGGUGCUUGUUUAAAUACAUUGUAUGACUAAUACAUACAUACACAUGCGUACACAUACAUGUAAAUCAGUGUGACAGCUGUACUAAUAAAGGUGUCUACUGUAUUCUACAUAGGACAAUUUUAUCAUUCAGGAUUUAGUUCAGGAAAUAGAAACCACUCUAGCCAUUUUAGGCGGAAAGGCAUUUGAUACAGGGACUUAGAUGCAUACAAAAUCAUCAGAAGGGCUGGGAGAGUGGAAGCUGGGGGGCUAUUUUUGGACUUUUGAUUUCAAGGGUCCUCUACUCUGGCCAUGCUUCAGAAGUCAUCAAACUGCUGCUGCUCCUGCCAUCACCGUUGCCACCACCUGACUGCCCAGGGGCAGAUUAUUCAAUUAGCACGGUAGCACGGGUUUCACUUCGAUGUGGGGUGGUGAAGCCCAUGUGACCUUGUUCACUGCAGAUUAGUAAAUAAGCACAAGUAAGCCCGUGCUUACCUUCCUUACAGGAUAAUCCGCCCAGUGACUGCUCCACACCCUCCGAACUGGGUGGUAGGCAGUGAACUCCACUGCACAUAUUCCUCCUAGUGCCAGAGCUGGCUGUCAGCUGCCCCAGCUGCAGGAAGAGGACCUCUGCCUCCUUCCACCCUUCAGAUCUCAAGCGAGUGCAUGUAGCUGACAGAACUUAAUGUACCACUGGUUUGCAAUGACCAGCACCCAUUCUAAUUUUUUUGAGUGACUGCACCUUGAUUUCCCUUUGGGGAACUUCCACUCCCCACUAUUAGCCCAUGUGGUUCAUGUGAAGCUGAUCUUGUCCCAGGCUCCAAGGGUGGGCAUGUGAGCAGGUCUGGCUAGUCAGCACACUCCAUUCCUUCAGAAACAAUGAUGGGUUCAUGGAUGGACACAUGCCUGAAGCCAGGCCAACGAAACUGAUUAUAAAAGCUGUUUUUCGACUGAGAAUUACUUAGCUGUGGGGAUGGAAGCCUGGAGCAACUGUGGACCCUCUGGUGAUAGGUAUGGGGGAAUGUGAGCCUGAUAAAGUAGAGCUAAAAUAUGGAGAGACAUUGAAUGCUGAUGAUAUCACAUGAGCCACUGGAUCCAGCUGUGGCUGAAGCCACAUUGUCUGCUUCAGGCUAUUAUAGUCAGUAGAGCCAAUAAAUUCCCUUUUUGCUUAAGCCAGUUUCAGUUGAAAGUUAUGACUAAUACAGUAUGACAAAAGGGUAGUUUACUAGUAUGAGAGCCACUGUACUAAAGAAACCCAGAGGCCUGGUAAUCUACUUCUGAAAAAAGUCAGCCAUUGAAAAACCUAUGAAAUACAGUUCUAUGCUGACACAUGGGAUUGCCAUGGUUGGAAUCAACCAAUCAGCUGGUUGGUUCUUGAUAGGGGAAUGGCAAGGUUCUAGCAGAACUCUUGUUGAGGCUGUCUUCAGAAAAUACAUUCUUCUUUAGAUGUUCAUUGCAGCAGUGUUUGUACAGGUCCACAAUCCCUUAUCCAAACCCACUGGGGCUAGAAGUGUUUUGAAAUUUAGAAAUUCUCAGAAUUUUGAAAGGUGCAUGCACUGAUAUUAUAUAACAUCCUUGAGAGUGUUGUGUCAGCGUUCCAUAAGCAGAGAACUUAGUGUUUUCUCAAUGGAGCAUAUGAAUAUUCACAGUAAAUGGGAUGUAAAAUUAUAAAUAUAUCUAUUCAAGUCAGGUUUUGCCACUAAGUAUUUUCAGGUUAGGUUAGGUCUUGUUGCCAAAUUUUGACAAAGAUUUUGGUUUUUUGUUUUCCUUUCAUUUUGAAUUGUGGCUAAAGGAUUAUGGACCAGUAAUAGCAAAAAAUUGGAAAUGAGCUAAAAAGACCUCAUUGGGAAAAUGGAUUUUUAAAAGGGUGGGAUAGUGAUAUGAUGAAAUGCAAUAGAGCAGUGAAAAUGAAUAAACGAGCUACAUGUAUCAUUACGGAUACAUCUUAGAAAAAAUAAGGUAGAAAGAAAGCUCACUGCAAAGGAAUAUAUUCAUUAUCAGUUAGGCUAGGCCAGGUUAUGCUGUAGUAACAAAAAGCCUUAAAUCUCAGAGCCUUAAAACAAAGUUUUGUUUUGUUUUUCAUUCAUGCUACAUGUUCAUCACAGGCAAGUGAGGAAGGCUUAACUUUAAGUCCCUGUCCUUCUCAGUCUGGAACUCAGCUGGUGGGGCAGCCACUCUGCAGAAGAUUGUUAUUGUGGUAGAGGGAAAAGGGUGGUGAAGAACAUCCACGAAAAAAAGGGGAAAAAAAGCCAAAUCUGCUGUUGUCAAGUCAAUUAUGACUCAUAGCAACCCUACAGAACAAAGUAGAACUGUAAAGGCUGUAAAUCCAUGGAAGCAGACUGCCACAUCUUUCUCCUGCGGAGCGACUGGUAGGUUUGAACCCCCAACCUUUCAGUUAGCAGCCAAGCAUUUAACCACUGUGCCACCAGGGCUCCUGGUGAAGGACAUACUGGCUCUUAAUGCUGCUGCUCUGAGCCUCAGUUCUCCCUGAGAGGGGCUGAUGAACCACUGCCUGGCCAGGGGUUACCAGGGUGACCCUUAUAGUCAGUGCCCCAUCAGCAGGAGUUCCUGGCACUGGAAGCAUUCAAUGCCACAACUCCUGGCACCUGCAGAGCAGUCCCACACAUGUAAAUGAUCUUUAUCAGUUCACCGGCUCUGGGCGCUUGAACUGAGAUAGUUGUUGCUCUGGGAUAUGAUCUCACUGCUGGCUAGGGAUUAGUGUUUAUGGAUUAUACAAUGGCUUCGUUGGGGUGGGGAAACCCUGGUGGUGUAGUGGUUAAGUGCUACGGCUGCUAACCAAAGGGUCGGCAGUUUGAAUCCACCAGGCGCUCCUUGGAAACUCCAUGGGGCAGUCCUAUCGGGUUGCUAUGGGUCGGAAUAGGGUUGCUAUAGGGUCACUAUGGGUCGGAAUUGACUCGACGGCACUGGGUUUGUUUGGUUUCCUUGGGGUGGGUGCCUGGAAUUUUCUCUGGUAGGACUUGGGGGGCCAGGGCAGGGCACAGUGUUCCUGUGAUUUUUUUUUUUCAUUUGGCUGUGGAUCUUUUUCUUUCUGCCUUUGCUUUGGGCCAGCCUGUAAGUGGGUGUUGACCAGCACAGGAGCCCAAUUUAUGUUCUCCUGAGAUCUCUCCUGGAGCCCUGGUUAUGCAGUGGUUAAGAGCUGGGUUGCUUAACCAAAAGGUCAGAAGUUUGAAUUUACCAGCCACUCCUUGGAAACCCUAUGGGGCAGGUCUGGUUUUGGUUUUGGAGAUCUGUCAUGGUACCUCCCUUUCUUUAGGCCGCUCCCCUGCUCUACAAGCUCCAGUGGCUCUCUAUGGCCCACAAGAAACAAUGUAAGAACUGCAACUUCUCCCUUUGGUUGGGUGCCUGCUACAUGCCAGGCAUUUUAUAGCACUAUCUUGAGCCCUGACAGCAACUCCAUGAAGUAGGGACUGUAUGAUCCCCAUUUUAUAGAUGUGGAAAUAGUGGCUGAGGGAUGCCGCGGUCACAGUCACAACCAAGUAGAACUGGUUAGUCACCAGAUCUGAUUGAUUCCGGAGCCACAGGGUCAGGUCCCCUCCAAUCUCACCCUUGGCUCUUCCUUGUAGGGACCACCUGCUCCAACCAAACUGGUCUCCUCUCACAGCCCCAGGAAGCCUGUCUCUAUGUUCCCUUCAAGACCAUCUUGAGUCUAAUGGGAUGCCUCCCCACACUGCCAGUCACACAAGACCCUCCUCACAUCCUAUGGAGUUGCUGACUUUCCUGUUGGUCCACCACAGGACCUCGAGAACUACCACUUACUCAUCUCUGCAUCUGCUGUGCCCAGCAUGUGCACGGUGCACAGCUGCCAUUCUCCCAGCUUUCCUUCAACACUUAUUGAGCACCUACUGGGUGCUGGGCACUAUGCACUGAGCACGGAUGUUCACUGCAGCAGUGUUUAUACAGGUCCAUAAUCCAUUUUCCAAACUGGAUAUCCAAAUGUGUAGCAGAGAAUGAAACAAAACUCUCACAAUCAUGGAGCUUAUGUUUUGCUACCAGGGACAGAAAAUAAGCAAAUAAACAAAUACAUGUAUAAUAUAAUAUUGUCAUUGUUGAUGCUGUCAAGUUGAUUUCAACUUAUAGCAGCCCCAUGUGGCAGAGUAGAACUGCCCCAUAGGGUUUCUAAGCUGUAAUCUUUAUGGAAGGAUCCCUGGUGGGCAAUGGUUAAGCACUUGGCUCUAACCCAAAGAUAGGUGGUUCUACUCCACCAGCCACUUGCUCAGUGAAAGAAAAGACUUGCCUAUCUGUUCUCUUAAAAAUUUUAGGCAUAGAAAACCCUAUGGGGCAGUUCUACUCUGUUCUACAGGUUCGCUAUGGGUCAGAAUCAACUAAUGGGCACACAACAAAAAUCUUUAGGGGAGCAGAUUGUCAGGUCUUUCUCUUGCUGAGCUGCUGGUGGGUUUGAACCGCCAACCUUUCGGUUAGCAGCAAGCGCUUAGCCUUUGGGCCACCAGGGCACCUUCACUAGGGAGUGAAAAAAUGGUAGGAAGAAAAAUAAAGUUGGCCGAGAGGAUGGGCAGCAGGGAGGAAAGCUCUCUGAGCAGAAACCUCAACGCAGUGCGCUUGGUUGACUGAGGAACUGAACAGUCAAAUGAAUGAAUAUUUGAGUAAAUUGGAAAACCUAACUUGAAGAUGAACAGGGAGUGCGGAGGGAGGAGUUUGAGGUAGGGACCUCUUGGACCCCUCUGAUCUUAGGACUUCUCAACGCUAGGAGGAAGUUACUCUUGUGAGUGCCAUUUUACCGAUGAGAAAAUGGAGGCCCACGGAAAUGAAGUGAGGGGCUUCAAAAGAUGCAUCCCAGACCGGUUAGGAAGCACCUUCCCCCUGGCUUUGAGAGCACCCAGCCUCCUGGUUUUCUUUCCUGCGUCUCCUUGGCAGAGUCACCCUUUUCUACUCUGCCAUGAAAAGCUGGACUUCCUCAAGGCUUCUCCUAGGCGUUCUCUUCUUCCAAGAGAGCCUACCCACAGAUGGUAUCAAGGCGUGGUUUUAAUCUGCAUUUUUCUGAAGACUAAUGAAAUCAUGCACCUUUUCCUAUGCUUAUUGGCCAUUUGGAUAUCUUGUUUUGUGAAAUACCUAUUCAAGUCUUUUGCUCGUUUUUUUCUUUUGGUUUGUCUUUUGCUUAUAAAUCUAUGAUUAAAAAAAUUCUGGGUAUGAGUUGUUUAUCAGCUCUAUAUUUCUAUUUCUUCUCCCACUUCGAGGCUUGUCUUUUCCCUUAAUGGUAGCUUUUAGUGAAGAGAAAUUCUAGUUUUAACAUAGUCCAACUGAACGAAUUUUUCUCUUUUGGUUGGUGUUUAUGCCCUCUUAGACAAAUCUUCGCCUACUCCAAGAGUGUGAAGAUAUUCUACGUUUUCUUCUGAAAACUUUUCACUUUAUCUUUCACGUGGAGAUUUACAUUCCAACUUGAAUUGAUUUUGUGUAUAGUGUGAGAUCGGAUAAAGAUUCUUUUUUUUUUCCCCACAUGGAAAUCCAGUUGGCCUAGCACUAGUUCAAUUAACAAAAUAAAACAAAGGGGGCAUUGAGCUUCUGUUAAGGGUGACAGAAUAAUUUGGGAGCAGAUAAUGGUGAUGGUUGAACAACAUGAUGAACAUAAUGUCUCUGAAAUGUACAUGCGAAGAUUGUUGAAAUGUCAAAUGUUUUGUUACAUAUAUAUUUACCACGAUAAAAAAAAAAUACCUUUUCUGCUUAAAGAGAAAAAAACGAAAAAAAAAAAAAAAACAUCGCGUGGUAGUAUAUGGGUGUUCAUUGUACUAUUUUUCAAGUUUUCUAGAGGUUAAAAGAUUUUCAAAUAAAAUGCUGGGAGAAAAUGAUGAACAAAAAAAAAGUAGGGGGACUGUUGUAGGUUAACAAAUACCAUGGAAGUAAUACCAUGUCCAUUUUGUAUGCAAUGUACAAACACUGAUUUUAUACUGUCAGAAAGACAUCCUUGAAACAAAUGGGCAAAACUUCAGAAUGGACUGAAUAUUGUAGGAUAUUAUGGUCUAAUUACUUAUUUUCUUAGGUGUGAUAAUAUCAUUGUGGUUACGUAGAAGAAUGUCAUUUUUCUUUGGAUUUGCUGCUGAUGUAUUGACACACAAAGCAACUUAUUUUUAAAAUAAUUCAGCAAAAAAUGUAAACAUGAAUAUAGAUAGAUAAAUCUGAAAAAUAACAAUUGCUGAAUCCUGUUAGAGAGUACAGGUAUUCCUUAUACUAUUCUAUCAAGUUUUCUGUAUGUUUAGAAAUGUUUAUGAAAGACAUUGGGGAGAGGGAACAUUGUAUGGUUCAAAUAAAAAGUAUUUUCAGGUCAGAUUAUCCUGGCUACCUGCAGAUUUCUGGUCCAGGGCCUCACCUGCACUAUCUCACAUAAUCUGCAUCACACCCCUAUGGGGUAGGCAACACUGGACCUAUUUCAGCCAGGACUGGCCGAGCCAACAUCUGAACCCACAUCUAACUGAGUCAAAAUUCUCUGCUUUUCUUUUUUGUUGUUUAAGCCUCUCCUCUCCCACCUCAUCUCCCAGGGUAUGAUGGGGAGGAUCAGGUGAGAGCAACGUGCAUUUACCAUGUGCUAGGCUUUGCAUGUAUUAUUUAAAUUCUCACAACAACUUUAUGCAGUUGUUACGAAUAAACAUUCUCCAUUUUAUGAAGGCACAGAGAGGUUAAGUAAUGUGCUUAAGACCACACAGCUAAGAAUGGAAGAACUGGGAGCUGGGGAACCUGGACAGCCUGGCUCUAGAGCCCCCUACUUAAGCUGUUAAACACACACACACACUUUAAAAAGUACAAAUCACUUUACAAAUAUAAAGUGGGCUUAUUGUUGGUUCUCACAGAAUCCCUGCAAAGUCCUCCCUUCUCCUUACUGCUUCCAACAUUCCAAGACGGCGUUCCAGGUAUUGAUAUGUCUGCAUGGGGGACCACUUGCCUCCCCAAUUCAGUUGGGAGCUCCUCAGAGCUGGGGGUGGGUCUAUUGUCCCCUUAUCAUGAAUCUCUGGUGACUACUCUCUGAGGCCCUCUGGCCUGAAGGUGAUCUCAAAGCACAGGCUCUGGAUAUCGGUCCCACUCAUAAGCGAUGGUGGUAGGACACCAAUUUGCCUGCAAGCUGAGCAUUAGGGUCCAGAUGGAAUGCAGA